This 259-nucleotide ribosomal RNA is filed under the name uncultured bacterium. RNAcentral describes it as "partial 16S ribosomal RNA". It matches the Rfam family "Bacterial small subunit ribosomal RNA", at positions 524 to 777 of the family's 1533-position model. The record is from RNAcentral.
UACGGAGGGGUGCGAGCGUUUGUCCGGAAUCACUGGGCGUAAAGGGCGCGUAGGCGGCUGAGGCAGUCGGUGGUGAAAGCUCGUGGCUCAACUGCGAGUCGGCCAUCGAUACUCCUCGGCUCGAGCACUGUAGAGGCAGGUGGAAUUCCGGGUGUAGCGGUGGAAUGCGUAGAGAUCCGGAAGAACACCGGUGGCGAAGGCGGCCUGCUGGGCAGUAGCUGACGGCUGAGGCGCGACAGCGUGGGGGAGCAAAACAGGG